Molecule: unclassified non-coding RNA, 377 nt
Filed under: uncultured Geodermatophilaceae bacterium
Lineage: Bacteria; Bacillati; Actinomycetota; Actinomycetes; Geodermatophilales; Geodermatophilaceae
Description: contains 16S-23S intergenic spacer region
Source: RNAcentral
UCCGAGUUGACCCCGGCAGUCUCCUAUGAGUCCCCACCAUCACGUGCUGGCAACAUAGGACGAGGGUUGCGCUCGUUGCGGGACUUAACCCAACAUCUCACGACACGAGCUGACGACAACCAUGCACCACCUGUGCACGGCCCUUACGGACCUUCCAUCUCUGAAAGAUUUCCGUGCAUGUCAAGCCUAGGUAAGGUUCUUCGCGUUGCAUCGAAUUAAGCAACAUGCUCCGCCGCUUGUGCGGGCCCCCGUCAAUUCCUUUGAGUUUUAGCCUUGCGGCCGUACUCCCCAGGCGGGGCGCUUAAUGCGUUAGCUGCGACACGGAGACCGUGGAAUGGUCCCCACAUCUAGUUCCCAACGUUUACGGCAUGGACUAC